CACGUAGGGCGCAAGCGUUGUCCGGAAUUAUUGGGCGUAAAGAGCUCGUAGGCGGUCUGUUGCGUCCGCUGUGAAAACUCGGGGCUUAACCCCGAGCCUGCAGUGGAUACGGGCAGACUAGAGGUAGGUAGGGGAGAAUGGAAUUCCCGGUGUAGCGGUGAAAUGCGCAGAUAUCGGGAGGAACACCGGUGGCGAAGGCGGCGAUCUGGGUCGAUACUGACGCUGAGGUGCGAAAGCGUCGGGAGCAAACAGG
Molecule: ribosomal RNA, 253 nt
Filed under: uncultured bacterium
Lineage: Bacteria
Description: partial 16S ribosomal RNA
Rfam family: Bacterial small subunit ribosomal RNA
Source: RNAcentral